Non-coding RNA from Salmo salar (Atlantic salmon), 4327 nucleotides. NCBI's taxonomy places the organism in Eukaryota, Metazoa, Chordata, Actinopteri, Salmoniformes, Salmonidae. The record is from RefSeq and is a predicted model, not a curated record.
UCUUGCUGCUGCACCCCUUCCGACAGAGGUUGGCAGUUAGCAAGUAUCGCUUUUUCAUGCUUCUCGGAGUGGAGUAUCCUCGUGUGGAUAACAAAUAAUAAUCGUUCGGAUUUAUUCAUUGUCCUAGGUCCUUCGAAAGUUGUUUUGUCGGACGGUUUUGGAAUUAGUUGUGAUGGAUAUGAAAGUGUAAAGGAAGACUCAAACGAAGUAACAUAAAGAGGCAUAUCUACGUUCAUGGCUGCUGGGGACCGUGCCCAGCUGCCGGCGACAAUAGCUGAUAGCCGGAGCGUGGAGAAGUCGAUCGAGGAAGCUGCAGCGAGCGGGACUCUGAACUUGUCGAAUCGGAAAUUGAAAGGGUUUUCCCGAAACGCUAGGAACUAUGACCUGUCCGAUAUUGUGCACGCAGACCUGUCUAAGAACCGUCUCUGUGAGCUGCCAGAGGAGCUGUGCCAGUUCAUCUCCUUGGAGACGCUCAGCCUGUACCACAACUGUAUUCGCUCCCUCACCCCCAGCCUUUGUCAUCUACAGGCUCUCACUUACCUUAACCUCAGCCGUAACCUUAUCUCCAACCUGCCCCCCUCGGUGUGUCAGCUCCCCCUCCUGCGAGUCCUGAUCGUCAGCAACAACAAGCUGUUGGCCCUGCCCGCCUCCAUACACACCCUCACACACCUCCGACAGCUGGAUGUGAGUUGUAAUGAUCUGCAGUGUCUUCCGGUGGAGCUGGGUCAGCUGGAGUGCCUGAGAGACCUCAACCUGAGAAGGAAUCGGCUCACCAUGCUGCCCAAAGAGUUGUCAGAGUUGCCCCUGGUCCGGUUAGACGUUUCCUGUAACUGCAUCUCCCACGUGCCCGUGUGCUACCGCCACCUGCGCCACCUCCAGACCAUUAUAUUGGACAACAACCCCUUGCAGCAGCCGACGGCCCAGGUCUGUUCCAAGGGGAAGUUCCACAUCUUCAAGUUCCUCAACAUCGAGGCCUGCAAGAGAAGCCAGGAGGAACUGGAGAGAGCCCUGAGACCCACCGGGUACAACAGCUGUCACAGGACUCCAACCCAUGACUCUUCAAUCCACAAUUUAACCACUGCAGCCAACCACCAGAGGCAAACAGUUGGAACCUUCUGUGUGAAUACAGCCAAAGACUACAAUGUAAAUCACUCAUCCCCAGUCACCAAAAUUAACAAACUGUUGAGAAAUUUACUGAAGAGGACGACAGCCCAAACAGGAAGUCAUGUGCCAACGCUGUCACAAACAGGAAGUAGCUAAAGGUAAGAUACCUUACAUGAAACGAGCUAGUCCAGGGACUGAGAAAUUGUACUGCCUGAAUUGAUCCAUGUGUGAAAUGUGUUUUCGAAAGCCCUGCUAUGUUUAUUAGUAGCAGAUGAGUGCACAGUGCUGGACUGUUGUGGUUUGAGUAUUUGCUUUCUGAUUGUGUUAUCUGUCUCCCUCUAGUGGUGGCUCACCAGAGAAUCGCCACUCCCAGAAUGGCCUCUGACAACGAUGUGCAAGUGCAGAUCAGAUGUGCACAUCCAUAUCAGGUGUCAUCGUCUCAUACGCCACUCGUUCAGCGCUCUGUUAGCCGAUCAGAGGGUCCGUCGUCUCCCAAGACAUCGUCCCCUCCAGGCCUGACACAGAAACCCUACAGUUUCCUGUUCCGCACCUCGUCGCGCUUCAGCGUCAAGAGUCAGGUCUCUAUCUCAGGCUCUACACAGAGUCUGGUGGAGGCAGGCGUACUGAGUUGCUCUCCUCGUUGCGAAGAGAGGAGAGACCAGUUGUCAUAAAGCUACACAAGACUCUAGAGUCGAUGUUGAAGACCACCCUACCAGAGGAUCUAGGGGAGGUGUUGUCCAAUGGCACGGUCCUCUGCCAGCUGGCCAAUCACGUGCGGCCCCGCGCAGUGUCAAUCAUCCACAUCCCCUCCCCAGCAGUGCCAAAGUUGAGCACUGCCAAGUGUCGUCUCAAUGUGGAGAACUUCAUCGCUGCCUGUCGCAAGCUGGGGGUCCCUGAACGGAGGUGUCUGUGUGCUCUGACGUGUUUCUCUGUAAGCUGCCUGCUGUGCUGCGCUGUGUGGCGGCCCUCAUGAAAUAUGAGGGGGAGGCAAAGGGUGAGACUCGUACCGCCCAGACAGUCGACCCCCACACCCCUGACCUCUCACUGGUCUCGGAGGGCUUCCCGGUCUUCUACUGCCUGGCCAUGGCUCUGAUCUACACACUCUACUACCAACUGGUUGCAUAGAUACUGAGGGAUUGUGUGUGUGAGAGAAACGGUGCGAGAGUGCGUAAACUCACUUGGACUGACACUGACGUGAAUUUGACCACCUAAUGCGAACAUUCAUAUAACCAGGAUUGAAAUGAUCCACCAUGAAUUGUCAAAAAACGCACAUGCAAAACAGACUCGUACACACAAACAUUCAACUGCCCUGGCGUGAGGUAUGCAGGGCGAGAGUGAGGCCCACAACACAGGAAGGACUGUCAGCUGCUCCCUCCAACCCCAUAGCUGCUCCUAAAAAGUACAUGACACAUGAUGACGCACACAGCACACAUCACAGCAGAGCACACUGUGUAUACUUACAACAGCUGAUGUGGUUGGGCUCAACAGGAAACCAUAUGAUAUUAAAAGCAGCAACCUUUGAGUAGAUGUGCCCUUUAAAGUUAAAGGUACUCCUCUGGACCAUCGGCACGAAAAAGGCACCUAUUUAUAUAAGCUAAAAUACCCUACUUUAAAGGUGCCUUCUGACAUGACAGCCUAUGUGAAUGAAUAGCAGAGAAAUACAUUUGUGAAAACACUACAGACAUACAGUAAAACUAAACACUAUAAUGGACAUUUUUAAAGGGCUUCCCUACAGGACUGCCUAUGCAUAGUGCCCUAGUCUUUACCCCUCUGAUGCACAGAAUGUCCUGUCUCCAGUUAGGGAAAGCUACUUAGAGAACUGUAAACACCUGUUGUAACCCUUGAGGGGAUAGUGUAUUUUUCUACCUUUUCUAUUACUCGAUGUCUUUCAAAUAAGAGGACAUUUUGUAAAUAAGCCUCUAAAAUUUGCUGAAAGAUUUGACAUUUUUUCAUGGAGGCCAGUUUGUGCAAAUGAGACAUCACUAAUGCUUCCUAUGACUGGCUGACUAUAAGACCACUCACUGACCAAUGCUUUCCACCGUUUUUUGUCUGCUAUGUCUGAUUGUGACCACGAGGGGUGGUGUUGCUACAGGACACCGAUGCUUUAAUGUGUUAACCGACGGUACAGAAUAAUUUCAAAUCUUCUUUUUGUGAUUGUGCUGUUUUUUGUUUGUUUGGUCGGCUUAACAUGCUUCAUGUUUGUAUAAACGUAUACAACUCAUUAAAUUAUUUUUGUAUUUUUAUAAAGAAAAUUAAGAACUUUUUUCUGUUUGUUGCAGUGCUUGCUGAAGGAGUGCAGUUGUCUCAUAGAUAAAAACAAACUGAAAUCAAUUGGGUUAAUUUACUUCCUGAUUGACUGAGUCGGAUUACUUGUUUUACCUGUUCAUUGGGACCACUUUUCUAAAGGUUGUACAAAUAACCAUUAAGGUAAAUGACAGAUAAGGGUUAGUCUGAUAGUUAACUUAAGUCUGAAUGAACUGUGAUGUGAUUCUGUCUUACAGUUUAGUCACUACAUUUUCCAUCAGCCCUAUUAUGUACAAUGUUGCUGUGGGUGCUCUUGGGAAGCUGCGUUUUAGUGCAUUGUGAGGCCUCUGCUUUCUCCAGCAUAAUGCUAUGUUGUAACUUACUGAGCACACUGUGAAAAAUGUGAUGUCCAAGCUAAAAAUAGAGGCUUACUACAUUCAACACACACACACACAAUGUAAAUGGAAGGCAACAUUUCAACAUACACCUUGUAUUUGAGGUGUGUAUCUUGCAGAGGUGUCAUCCUAAUGCUGUAGUCAUGACUUUCCAGAGGACUGUAAUAUAUACUGUACAUAUUGAUGGGGCUUAUUCACCUUGCAUGAAGUGGGCAAGAAGAGCGGACAUUUUGGUGGUCAAGGCAAGGUUGUUUCAUACUGGGUCCAUAAGGGAUCUGUAGAAAUGUCUGUUGAAUGUUUCCCUAUCAUUGUCUGUUACACCAUUUUUUGUGCAUAACCUCAGUCAGCCUUGUUGGAAUUGAAUUUGCGAUAAUGUUGUUUCAACCAAAAUGUUUAAAAGAAAACAGUGGAUAGAACUUAAUUAUAUUCUUAAAUGUUUAAAAGAACAGAAAUACUGUUGUAUUGUGUAAUAUUUAUGUUAUACCUAUGUAUUUAAAUGAGAUGAUAAAUGUGAGUUUAUAUAAAAUCUAUAAAGUAUUUUUUUCCCGCUGUAAAGAAAUUAUAAAGAAAUUAACUUGACCAUA